GAUGAACGCUGGCGGCGUGCCUAAUACAUGCAAGUCGAGCGAACAGACGAGGAGCUUGCUCCUCUGACGUUAGCGGCGGACGGGUGAGUAACACGUGGAUAACCUACCUAUAAGACUGGGAUAACUUCGGGAAACCGGAGCUAAUACCGGAUAAUAUAUUGAACCGCAUGGUUCAAUAGUGAAAGACGGUUUUGCUGUCACUUAUAGAUGGAUCCGCGCCGCAUUAGCUAGUUGGUAAGGUAACGGCUUACCAAGGCAACGAUGCGUAGCCGACCGGAGAGGGUGAUCGGCCACACUGGAACUGAGACACGGUCCAGACUCCUACGGGAGGCAGCAGUAGGGAAUCUUCCGCAAUGGGCGAAAGCCUGACGGAGCAACGCCGCGUGAGUGAUGAAGGUCUUCGGAUCGUAAAACUCUGUCAUUAGGGAAGAACAAAUGUGUAAGUAACUAUGCACGUCUUGACGGUACCUAAUCAGAAAGCCACGGCUAACUACGUG
This 497-nucleotide ribosomal RNA is filed under the name uncultured bacterium. RNAcentral describes it as "partial 16S ribosomal RNA". It matches the Rfam family "Bacterial small subunit ribosomal RNA", at positions 28 to 507 of the family's 1533-position model. The record is from RNAcentral.